RNAcentral lists this ribosomal RNA (253 nucleotides) under uncultured bacterium. RNAcentral describes it as "partial 16S ribosomal RNA". It matches the Rfam family "Bacterial small subunit ribosomal RNA", at positions 524 to 776 of the family's 1533-position model. The record is from RNAcentral.
UGCGAAGGGGGCUAGCGUUGUUCGGAUUUACUGGGCGUAAAGCGCGUGUAGGCGGGUCGUUAAGUUGGGGGUGAAAUCCCGGAGCUCAACUCCGGAACUGCCUUCAAAACUGGCGACCUGGACUCAAGCAGAGGCAAGUGGAGUUGCGAGUGUAGAGGUGAAAUUCGUAGAUAUUCGCAGGAACACCAGUGGCGAAGGCGACUUGCUGGGCUUGUAGUGACGCUGAGAAGCGAAAGCGUGGGGAGCAAACAGG